GACGAACGCUGGCGGCGUGCUUAACACAUGCAAGUCGAACGGUAAGGCCCUUCGGGGUACACGAGUGGCGAACGGGUGAGUAACACGUGGGUGAUCUGCCCUGCACUUCGGGAUAAGCCUGGGAAACUGGGUCUAAUACCGGAUAGGACCACUGCCUGCAUGGGUGGUGGGGGAAAGCUUUUGCGGUGUGGGAUGGGCCCGCGGCCUAUCAGCUUGUUGGUGGGGUGAUGGCCUACCAAGGCGACGACGGGUAGCCGGCCUGAGAGGGUGACCGGCCACACUGGGACUGAGAUACGGCCCAGACUCCUACGGGAGGCAGCAGUGGGGAAUAUUGCACAAUGGGCGCAAGCCCGAUGCAGCGACGCCGCGUGAGGGAUGACGGCCUUCGGGUUGUAAACUUCUUUCAGCACCGACGAAGCGCAAGUGACGGUAGGUGCAGAAGAAGGACCGGCCAACUACGUGCCAGCAGCCGCGGUAA
Molecule: ribosomal RNA, 478 nt
Filed under: uncultured bacterium
Lineage: Bacteria
Description: partial 16S ribosomal RNA
Rfam family: Bacterial small subunit ribosomal RNA
Source: RNAcentral